ACGAAGUCGGAAUUGCUAGUAAUCGUAGGUCAGCAUACUACGGUGAAUACGUUCCCGGGCCUUGUACACACCGCCCGUCAAACCAUGAGAGUUGGCAACACCCGAAGUCGGUAGUCUAACCGCAAGGGGGACGCUGCCGAAGGUAGGAUUGGCGACUGGGGUGAAGUCGUAACAAGGUAAC
Molecule: ribosomal RNA, 181 nt
Filed under: uncultured bacterium
Lineage: Bacteria
Description: partial 16S ribosomal RNA
Rfam family: Bacterial small subunit ribosomal RNA
Source: RNAcentral